Non-coding RNA from Hypoxylon sp. CI-4A, 144 nucleotides. The record is from the annotation of a GenBank genome assembly. NCBI's taxonomy places the organism in Eukaryota, Fungi, Ascomycota, Sordariomycetes, Xylariales, Hypoxylaceae.
GGCACUUUGGCGGAGUGGUUAACGCGAUGCCCUGCUAUGUAUAGUGUAUCAACAUCACCAACCUCUUCCAGGUGGUGAAUUGAAUAUCACGAAGUAGUGAAGGCAUUCCCUUCGGGGGCGUGUGUUCGAAUCACACAGGUGUCG